Engraulis encrasicolus (European anchovy) is the source of this 139-nucleotide small nucleolar RNA. RefSeq annotates it as small nucleolar RNA SNORA17. Lineage: Eukaryota; Metazoa; Chordata; Actinopteri; Clupeiformes; Engraulidae. The transcript has a single exon. The record is from RefSeq and is a predicted model, not a curated record.
UUUGCCCCUGAGGCGUUGCAGUCAUACUGUUUUGGUAUUGACUGUGUCAGACGGUGGCAUAGAACAAAUGGGUCUGGACUGUUUGUACUUGGCACCAUCAAUGUCAUCGGUGCUUGGUUUCAUCAGUUGACCCAAACAA